This 861-nucleotide ribosomal RNA is filed under the name Psychrobacter sp. f4. Its description in RNAcentral is "bacterial SSU rRNA". It matches the Rfam family "Bacterial small subunit ribosomal RNA", at positions 564 to 1424 of the family's 1533-position model. The record is from RNAcentral. Lineage: Bacteria; Pseudomonadati; Pseudomonadota; Gammaproteobacteria; Moraxellales; Moraxellaceae.
AGGGAGCGUAGGUGGCUCUAUAAGUCAGAUGUGAAAUCCCCGGGCUUAACCUGGGAACUGCAUCUGAAACUGUAGAGCUAGAGUAUGUGAGAGGAAGGUAGAAUUCCAGGUGUAGCGGUGAAAUGCGUAGAGAUCUGGAGGAAUACCGAUGGCGAAGGCAGCCUUCUGGCAUAAUACUGACACUGAGGCUCGAAAGCGUGGGUAGCAAACAGGAUUAGAUACCCUGGUAGUCCACGCCGUAAACGAUGUCUACUAGUCGUUGGGUCCCUUGAGGACUUAGUGACGCAGCUAACGCAAUAAGUAGACCGCCUGGGGAGUACGGCCGCAAGGUUAAAACUCAAAUGAAUUGACGGGGGCCCGCACAAGCGGUGGAGCAUGUGGUUUAAUUCGAUGCAACGCGAAGAACCUUACCUGGUCUUGACAUAUCUAGAAUCCUGCAGAGAUGCGGGAGUGCCUUCGGGAAUUAGAAUACAGGUGCUGCAUGGCUGUCGUCAGCUCGUGUCGUGAGAUGUUGGGUUAAGUCCCGCAACGAGCGCAACCCUUGUCCUUAGUUACCAGCGGGUUAAGCCGGGAACUCUAAGGAUACUGCCAGUGACAAACUGGAGGAAGGCGGGGACGACGUCAAGUCAUCAUGGCCCUUACGACCAGGGCUACACACGUGCUACAAUGGUAGGUACAGAGGGCAGCUACACAGCGAUGUGAUGCGAAUCUCAAAAAGCCUAUCGUAGUCCAGAUUGGAGUCUGCAACUCGACUCCAUGAAGUAGGAAUCGCUAGUAAUCGCGGAUCAGAAUGCCGCGGUGAAUACGUUCCCGGGCCUUGUACACACCGCCCGUCACACCAUGGGAGUUGAUUGCACCAGA